GUAGGGAAUAUUGGGCAAUGGUCGGAAGACUGACCCAGUCAUGCCGCGUGCAGGAAGACGGCCCUCUGGGUUGUAAACUGCUUUUAUCUGGGAAGAAAAAGGCCAUGCGUGGCAAAUUGCCGGUACCAGAUGAAUAAGCACCGGCUAACUCCGUGCCAGCAGCCGCGGUAAUACGGAGGGUGCGAGCGUUGUCCGGAUUUAUUGGGUUUAAAGGGUGCGUAGGCGGCUGCUUAAGUCAGCGGUGAAAGACUUCGGCUUAACCGGAGCAGUGCCGUUGAUACUGGUUGGCUUGAGUGUCGGAGGGGUACAUGGAGUUGAUGGUGUAGCGGUGAAAUGCAUAGAUACCAUCAGGAACACCGAUAGCGAAGGCAUUGUACUGGCCGACAACUGACGCUGAUGCACGAAAGUGUGGGGAUCGAACAGGAUUAGAAACCCGUGUAGUCC
This 444-nucleotide ribosomal RNA is filed under the name uncultured bacterium. RNAcentral's name for it is "partial 16S ribosomal RNA". It matches the Rfam family "Bacterial small subunit ribosomal RNA", at positions 354 to 796 of the family's 1533-position model. The record is from RNAcentral.